Long non-coding RNA from Olea europaea var. sylvestris, 1323 nucleotides. RefSeq lists it as uncharacterized. The transcript has 3 exons. Lineage: Eukaryota; Viridiplantae; Streptophyta; Magnoliopsida; Lamiales; Oleaceae. The record is from RefSeq and is a predicted model, not a curated record.
CCCAUUCCCAGAAUAAAAAAGUCCACAGUGCAAUCCUCUAGACUUAUCGAAAGAAACCCAGACGAGGGAAGAACCUCCGACAAUUUGUAGCCUUUUCAGAUGUCCUCAUCGAUCCGCAACCACAACCACAAGUCAGCCAACUCCGAUUCAAGACUACCAAAUAUCCAACCAGCGUUCGUCCUGCCUUCGUUUUCAAUUGUCGUUCAACCCCACGGAUCUAUUUUCUAGCCAGAUGGGUUACAGUCCUCAGCAGGCAUCAUUCAGUGCACCCGAAGUAGCAAAUGAGGUAGAAUCAAGGGAAAAUGCAAAGUGGAAGCAAGUCGAGAGGAUGACAUUCAUUGCAGCUUGUGAAAAACAAUUGUCGAAGGCCAUUGGCAUGGCAGGUGUUUCAUGAAACAUGGCUGGGAGAAUGGGGUUACGUUGUUUAAUUCGUUAUCCGGUUACAAUUGGAGCAAACAACUCCGCAACCAUUGGGAUGCAAUGCGUCGCGACCACAAGCGCCUCUCCGAACUUUUAUCUUGCAACGGGGUCAAAUACGACCCGUCAACAGGCCGGGUUGUAGCGUCUGAGGAGUGGUGGACGAGAAAAAAUAGGAUAAGUCUCUGGCUCUUCGGUAGGCAGCAUAUGUUUCACGUUAGUGUAUACCUACAGCAUUGUGUAAUUGAAAUCUGUUUGCUUUGCUGUAAUUAGUGACUCCUUUCUUCAUUAUCAGUGUAAUCUGCAUAUGCUCGUCUAUUUUCUGUGACUUGAAACUGAAAUAUGCUCCGAUUUACUCCAAAAUUUAUUAUGGUGGUUGGAUAUUCAUUGGGUACUUAAGCCGUCAUCUAAACUGUCCGCUAUCACAAGAUUAACUUUCAUUUAUGUUGUUCGUGUACUGAGUUGUCUACAUUGAAACUGGUUGUCAUAUUAGACACUGGUAUGCUGUAUAACUUGCCAUAAAAUAAAGUUCCAUGCAUGUUCCUAUGAAGUACUAGUUCUUUUACAUCCUAUGGAAGUGUCUUGUGUGCUAACGCUAAUGAGUCGCCUUUGAGAUAGAUGCAGGAUAUGGACAGAUUCUACUUCUGCAAUUCAAAAUUAUGCCCGGCAUAUGUUUCAGACGAUUUUGCUUUUUGUGCGAACCCCGUCAAAUUAUAAUAAGUACUCAAGGGUGGGUCAGAAAUUUAAUUCCUAAAGUAAUUGAAAUAAGAUGAUGAUGAUAGGGGCAGGCUGCUAUAUAUUUACAAAGGCAUUGCUAUCAUUUCCAAAAACUCUGUUGUUGAAAUUGUCACGGUUUACUGAUAUCUUCAUUGUCAUGUAUGAGAACCUUGUAAUUUUUAUUUUCAA